AAAACAAUUUUGUUAGCAACUUUCCUUUGAUUGUGUGGAUAAGGUUAACACUGAGCUGAACACCAGCUCCACAUUGAAUUUUACCAGUUGGCUGAAAUGCAUGGUAAAACAUUUUUUUUUUUUUUUUUUGGAUUUCAGAGAAAAUAGCAGCCACCCAUUUCUGCAUCCGGGCUGUAUCCACACACCUGGUUCUCUGAAGUUAAAGUUUGUCUGUCACCGGGACUUUGCUCCCAGCUCUCUGUUACCCAGGGAAAGCAUGGAAAUGGUGUCACCACAGAUGUUUCCUGGGAAGAGCAAGAGAACCACAGGAAAUCUCAUAGGGACACAGGCAAGACUGGGAUGCUCCUGGAUUCUGAACUUAAGAAGAUAGGACAUAAACAAAAACAUUGCAAAGAUGGAAAAUUAAGAGCUGUUGUAAUGGUGUGCUAGAUCUGGCUCUUAGAGUAGAUUAAAUUUUAGAGAGUAGAUUUUGUGCUAUUAAUGCGUAUGUGGUCUAGGUGCUUAGUUGGUAAGUUGUUUCUGACUCCUUGCAACCCCAGGGACUAUAGCUCACCAGGGUCCGUUGUCCAUGGGAAUUUCCAGGAAAAAGCACCAGAGUGAUUUGCCAUUUCCUCCUCCAGGGGAUCUUCCUGACCCAUGGAUCAAACCCACAUCCAUAUCUCCUGCAGGAGGAUUCUUUACCACUGUGACCCUGGGGACGCCUAGAAAGGAGAGUUGAAACGAGAUUUUGGGCAUCUCUUUUCAACUCUCCUUUCAGUGACUUUCCAUUUGGAAGAUUGAAAUCAGCCUUGGUAAAGGUUAUUUACACAAUGGAAAUUGGCAAAUGCUACCAAUCAGAGCAUUUUCUUUUUUUCAGAAAGCUGAUUUUUUAGCAAACUAGAAAUGAUGGGAAGAGAAAUGGGCUGUGGAUUUGAAAGUCACAUUGAUCAAAAUAGUGACCACUAUAGAGCUCAAUUAGAUCCUCUUUACAUUUAUUCACCUUAUUAAAAAUGACCCCUUGUCUGAUCUAUAAACCUGAAUAAAUUUG
This is a long non-coding RNA of Bos indicus x Bos taurus (hybrid cattle), 1027 nucleotides long. NCBI's taxonomy places the organism in Eukaryota, Metazoa, Chordata, Mammalia, Artiodactyla, Bovidae. The record is from Ensembl.